AAUCAACGCUGGCGGCGUGCCUAACACAUGCAAGUCGAACGCGAGAGGGGCUCCGGCCCCGAUUGAGUGGCGAACGGGUGAGUAACGCGUGGGUGACCUACCUUCGAGUGGGGGAUAACGUCCCGAAAGGGACGCUAAUACCGCAUAACAUCCUGCUUUUGAAUGGGUGGAGACCAAAGCCGGGGAUCGCAAGACCUGGCGCUUGAUGAGGGGCCCGCGUCUGAUUAGCUAGUUGGUGAGGUAACGGCCCACCAAGGCAACGAUCAGUAUCCGGCCUGAGAGGGCGGACGGACACACUGGGACUGAGACACGGCCCAGACUCCUACGGGAGGCAGCAGUGGGGAAUUGUUCGCAAUGGGCGCAAGCCUGACGACGCAACGCCGCGUGGAGGAUGAAGGUCUUCGGAUUGUAAAGCCCUUUUGUUGGGAAAGAAAUCCUAUCGGCUAAUACCCGGUGGGGAUGA
Molecule: ribosomal RNA, 463 nt
Filed under: uncultured bacterium
Lineage: Bacteria
Description: bacterial SSU rRNA
Rfam family: Bacterial small subunit ribosomal RNA
Source: RNAcentral